Molecule: long non-coding RNA, 1543 nt
Filed under: Oreochromis niloticus (Nile tilapia)
Lineage: Eukaryota; Metazoa; Chordata; Actinopteri; Cichliformes; Cichlidae
Description: lncRNA (ENSONIG00000027595.1)
Source: RNAcentral
UGGAUCAUCAAACACAAGAAUCAGAAGUAUGAGCAAUGGAAACUGAACUAAUGAAUUGAAAGGGAAAAUCCAUCCAUCUUCCACUUAUGUGAUUUAGGAAAAAGGAAAUAUUUCAAAGCUAAAAUCUAAGAUCAGGAUCUUUGUGGAAUUCUAAUUCAUUGCAUCUCUAAAAUAGCAGAAUAAGUCACAAGGUUGUAUCUCUUCUCAGAAACUAUAAAAUAAAGACGAUAGGUUAGAACAGCAAAUAAAUGCCUCUACAGGAAAACAUUUAAAUGUUCCUUUAAACUAUAAGAUGGUUUCAGCUGUCAGUCAGCACCACCCUUACACGUGGAGGUUGUAAGGCUGUUAGAAACCACGUGGUACUUGUAAGAUCUCAUAACUUGCCAUUGUUCUGCAUCAGCCUAACAGAGCACCACUUCUCUCCAGGUUCAGGAGAGAAACCAUCACUGCACACGAUGCUUUUCCUCCCAGCUGCUGCUCUGUGCUGUCUGUGUUCAGUGAUUACUGUGGCUGAAGAGCUGAUACAGAGUGAUUUAACUCUGACCAGGAGAGCUGGAGAAAGUGUCUCCUUCAGCUGUGGGGGAACUGACCAGUGCAGCAGUAACACUGUGUACUGGUACCAGAAGAAAGACACAAGAGAUUCAUUCAGAAUGCUUCUUUCUAUUGAUAUAAGCAGCGGUGCAAUAAAUCGAGGCUAUAACCACCCUCAGCAGAACGAUUUCUCAGCAGUGAAUAAUCAGGGCAGCUGGGCUUUGGAGCUAAAAACAGUUAAAGACGUUCAUUCAGCCAUCUACUACUGCUCUUGUUACAAAAGUACUCACAGUGUGAAAUCAUCCCUGCAGGCUGAACAAAAACCAUCAGAGGAAAAGCAAGAAACCACAGCUCCAUCUCAGUCUGAGAGACAAGAGUUAGAGAAAAUUUCAGUACUUUAAAUCAUAAAUCGAAAUGUUCAUAGCGUCAAAGGGUAAAAUUAAUACUUGUAAUUAAAGUUGACAGCUAACUGGGAGUACUGGGAGUACACAAUAAAGGUGGAAAAGAAAGAAAAAAUGUCACAGACCAGUUGUAUGGGAGGUUUUUCCUCCUGAACGUUAAAAGUUGAUAUGUAUCAUAUCAUGGAGUUGUAUGUUGAUGAUACUAUUGUUUCCACACAUGGUCGAAAAUAUUUCAGACUACAUCAAGUCCAUUUAUGUUCCUCAGUCUGUGUCUGUGGGAACAAAUAUUUUUAGUUUUGAAGUCAUCAUAGUUUUAAGACAUUUUGUUGACUGACUUCAUAGAAAGUCAAGAAAAGAUACGACUGAAAUAAUAAAUAAAUUCCACUCUAUAUUUGAAGGUUAAUGUUUUGCAAACCUCAGUCUCAGUGGAAAACUGCAACACACGCCUCAGCUGUCACUCAGCAGCAGCACUGACAGCUGCAGCAGUUAAUGGGAGGUUUUAGGAGUUGUUAGAAACACGUGGUCCUCGUCUGAUCAUAUAAACUGUCCUUGUUUGGCCUCGUUUCUAUCAAAGCAUCACUUCUCCUGAGAUUCACCAGAGGAAACGUCAC